RNAcentral lists this ribosomal RNA (486 nucleotides) under uncultured bacterium. Its description in RNAcentral is "bacterial SSU rRNA". It matches the Rfam family "Bacterial small subunit ribosomal RNA", at positions 958 to 1465 of the family's 1533-position model. The record is from RNAcentral.
AACGCGCAGAACCUUACCAACCCUUGACAUCCCUGGACCGAUCCGGAGACGGAUCUUUCACUUCGGUGACCAGGUGACAGGUGCUGCAUGGCUGUCGUCAGCUCGUGUCGUGAGAUGUUCGGUUAAGUCCGGCAACGAGCGCAACCCACGUCCCCAGUUGCCAGCAUUCAGUUGGGCACUCUGUGGAAACUGCCGGUGAUAAGCCGGAGGAAGGUGUGGAUGACGUCAAGUCCUCAUGGCCCUUACGGGUUGGGCUACACACGUGCUACAAUGGUGGUGACAGUGGGUUAAUCCCCAAAAGCCAUCUCAGUUCGGAUUGGGGUCUGCAACUCGACCCCAUGAAGUUGGAAUCGCUAGUAAUCGCGGAACAGCACGCCGCGGUGAAUACGUUCCCGGGCCUUGUACACACCGCCCGUCACACCAUGGGAGUUGGGUCUACCCGACGGCCGUGCGCUAACCCUUACGGGAGGCAGCGGACCACGGUAG